This 423-nucleotide ribosomal RNA is filed under the name uncultured beta proteobacterium. Its description in RNAcentral is "bacterial SSU rRNA". It matches the Rfam family "Bacterial small subunit ribosomal RNA", at positions 608 to 1029 of the family's 1533-position model. The record is from RNAcentral. Lineage: Bacteria; Pseudomonadati; Pseudomonadota; Betaproteobacteria.
CUCAACCUGGGAAUUGCAUUGGAGACUGCAAGGCUAGAAUCUGGCAGAGGGGGGUAGAAUUCCACGUGUAGCAGUGAAAUGCGUAGAUAUGUGGAGGAACACCGAUGGCGAAGGCAGCCCCCUGGGUCAAGAUUGACGCUCAUGCACGAAAGCGUGGGGAGCAAACAGGAUUAGAUACCCUGGUAGUCCACGCCCUAAACGAUGUCUACUAGUUGUCGGGUCUUAAUUGACUUGGUAACGCAGCUAACGCGUGAAGUAGACCGCCUGGGGAGUACGGUCGCAAGAUUAAAACUCAAAGGAAUUGACGGGGACCCGCACAAGCGGUGGAUGAUGUGGAUUAAUUCGAUGCAACGCGAAAAACCUUACCUACCCUUGACAUGGCUGGAAUCCCUGAGAGAUUGGGGAGUGCUCGAAAGAGGACCA